CCAUGAACAACGCAAAAAAAAAAUCCAACAUUCUACCAAAAAGCGUUCCUACAAAGGCAACUCUCUCUAAACCGUUUUUUGCCCAUGAGGUAUGGAAAUCGUCUAUUAGAAUGGAGAGUAAUUGAAAGGAAAAAUUACCUUUUUUGGUUUUUUUUUUUCCUUUCUUCUCGUCGGUCUUGGGUGCAGUGUCAUUCCUUUCUCCGCGUUCCCUCUCUCUCCAGAGUUAAAGAGCGCGGAGGUAGGCUCUGAGUGGGAUUGCAAUGAUUGGCGGGACAU
This 276-nucleotide small RNA is filed under the name Histoplasma capsulatum. RNAcentral's name for it is "Ajellomyces capsulatus A. fumigatus sRNA Afu_182". It matches the Rfam family "A. fumigatus sRNA Afu_182". Lineage: Eukaryota; Fungi; Ascomycota; Eurotiomycetes; Onygenales; Ajellomycetaceae. RNAcentral also lists the same sequence under 1 other name. The record is from Rfam by way of RNAcentral.